RNAcentral lists this microRNA precursor (57 nucleotides) under Heligmosomoides polygyrus. RNAcentral describes it as "microRNA hpo-mir-55 precursor". Its record names the gene hpo-mir-55. The record is from miRBase by way of RNAcentral. Lineage: Eukaryota; Metazoa; Nematoda; Chromadorea; Rhabditida; Heligmosomidae.
CGGUGGAAAUUGUUCGGUUGUGCCUCGUUUGCCAUACCCGUAUGAGUUUCCGCUGAG